GAGAUACAAGGAUGGAAAGCACUCAAUUCCCUUUGGUUGCAUAGUUGGACCAACCACCAACGCGUUUUGGAUCCCACCCUUUUGUGGAUCCCUAGAAUCAUCUGGACCAGCAAUACAAUGAAAACACAUAUUAUGGUAAAAUAACUUGAAUCGGCAUAUAAAAUCCAACACAAGAAUACUAAACAUUCCGCCAUACCUGUUCUAUAUUAAACCAGAUUGAAAAAAGUAUUGACUUCACAACAGAUAUUGAAUACAAAUCAAACAUUCCAACUUAGUUCUGUGCAUACAUGAAAAUAUAGUCUUGGUUACAUUAACCCCGGAUACUAGAUUUAGCUAUCACAAAAUUUAACUGCAUUUUCAGUAUUCUAGCAUGUGCUUCAGUUAGGGCAUAUCAUUAUAAGACUAACAGUAUGCAAAGUAUACGUAAUCCAAUAUUAUAAAGUUAAUACUGAAAUUGACAAGUACCAUUGGAUUCCCUUUACGAUUUAAGAUUUUAUUUAAAAAUUGAGAUAUAUAUAUUUAUUAUAUUAAUUCUUAUUUUUUAUCUUUAAGAAAAUAUUAGAUUUUAAAACUAGAUGAUAUUAUUAUUAAAAUUGUUUUGUGUUGGCUCUUUCUUUCAUAACAUUAAUUUUUAUGUUCUAAGUUCUUUUUGUAAAAAUAAAACGAAAUAUAAUCAUAAUCACAGGAGCAAUUCAGGUAGGACAAUGAUCAAAAGAGAAGAUAUUAUAUACAUGCAUAUGAUAAUAAACCAUAAUUAUUUUUUGAAAUUAAGCAGAAAAUUGAUUAGUUGGAAUUGAUUAGAAAAUGGAGUUAAAAGAUAAAAAAGAAGUCCAAACAUACAAAUCCUGAAGUUCCUUCAAACAUAAUAGUCAGAGUCCAGUAGUCUAGAUCAAUUCUUACAAAAAAAAAUUGUCUU
Molecule: long non-coding RNA, 916 nt
Filed under: Ricinus communis (castor bean)
Lineage: Eukaryota; Viridiplantae; Streptophyta; Magnoliopsida; Malpighiales; Euphorbiaceae
Description: long non-coding RNA (RCOM_LNC002549)
Source: RNAcentral